Long non-coding RNA from Gossypium arboreum, 541 nucleotides. RefSeq lists it as uncharacterized. The transcript has 2 exons. NCBI's taxonomy places the organism in Eukaryota, Viridiplantae, Streptophyta, Magnoliopsida, Malvales, Malvaceae. The record is from RefSeq and is a predicted model, not a curated record.
AAAAACUAAAACCUAUUGAAAACCCAAAUCCACCUUUUUAAAACCCCUUUUCCUUUUAACAAUCACCCCUUUGAUUUUUUUUUAAAAGAACUUAAGAAUUUUUUGAAAUGUUCUCUCAACUCAUGCACUCAUUUUCUCCUCUUCAUCAGACACCACCUCCGUCAAAGGUCCCAUGUGCGAUGGCCACCGACGACAUGAGCACAACUCCGGUAUAAUGGACGUGGGGCGUGGGUCGUACUUCACGCUAGUUGGCCGGACAUGCGAGGUGGAGUGCGUGGUGGUGGAGAACGUGGGUAGUGGAAGCAUGGAGGCAGUUGGAGGCUAGGGUCUUGGCUGAAAAUGUUUUAGGGUUUGUGGGUUAGGGUUAAGUAUUUAGGCUUCAAAAUUGGGUCUAUUUUUGGUCUUUGGGGUUUGUUUUUGGUUUAAAAAUUUGGGCUUUAAUGGUAAAUGGGCCCGGGCAAAAAUUGGUACCCACAGUCAUUAUACCUUAGUUAACUAUCAAUUCAAUAAAAUUAAAGGACUAAACCUUAAUAUAUUUUAA